This 1639-nucleotide long non-coding RNA is filed under the name Monomorium pharaonis (pharaoh ant). RNAcentral describes it as "uncharacterized LOC105828887, transcript variant X5". Lineage: Eukaryota; Metazoa; Arthropoda; Insecta; Hymenoptera; Formicidae. The record is from RNAcentral.
AGUGCGCGCGCCGCGCGCGGAAGCGUCUCUCAACAACCGAAUGCUACGCCAGUGCUACCCUCGUACCUUGCCUGCUACCUUCGUUCAUUUCACGGCUGGAUCUUCUAGAAGAAGCAUUCGAGUUGUUGGAUGCAUCUCGUUUGUCCACGGAGAGUGUUGGAUUCGUAGAUCCACUCUCCACGUGUCUCCUAUUGAGAAGCAGCCGCUAAGUAGCUCACGCUUAUCAUCGCAAUCGUUUUAAAAAAGAUGGGAGAGUAGAUUGCAACCUGUUUCAAAUUUCUCUUCAAAUUAGGCGUUAACAAAUGCAUCAUCAUCUUACUGUUCAUGGUGCUUAUUAUCAGCAAUGGAUAACAUGGAGCCAUUGGAAUGUUUGUCAUAAUAUUUAAACCUCUGACACGGUUUCAUGUUAGAGUAUUUUUCUGCCUGUAUUCACAAAGCCUGUAUUUUUACGAUGGAAGAAGAUUCAAAUAUCGAAUGUUCAAAAGCAUUGUUACUUCCUGUGAAAAAAAACAAACCAGGCCAGCCAGUCCGCAGUAAUCAAAGGCUUGAAAUUAUCAAUUUGUUCUAUAAGAUGAAGGAAAUCAAUCCAAAUAUUUUCCAGAAAGAUGCUGCUGUAUUAUCAAAACAAACGGAAAGAGAUGGAAGAGCGAAUUACAAACGAAUCUACUACAAAUUCCUUCUUUAAAUUAGACAUUAGACGUUCACAUAGAGGUUUAUCUAUAGAAUGGAUGAAAGCAAAUCUUGACCAUAAAAUGAAGUAAAAUUAGAAUUAUAAAACAUGAGAAGCCUGCACAGAGAUGCGUUAUGCGUUAUAAGUGAAAUAUAGAUUCCUGAAAUGAGUUAUUAUUCCUCAUAGUUUCACCUAAUAUCCUUCAACUCUGUAAUAAAUUUCCUGUAAGACACAUCUACAAAGGAUCAAGAUUGAACUUUGAAUUCAUUCAUUACAGUUUUUUAUACCAAUCACUCAUCAUUUCUUAUACAUCAAGAAUGCAAUUGAAAGAUAUUAACAUUUAUUGCUGCUUGAUUGCAAUUAUAAACUGGACAUCAAGAUGGCAUCUUGCUAAAAAUAUUUAUUUGCAAUGCAGUAAUAAUGGGAUCAUGUGUGUGGUUUGUACAUUUGAUGGUAAAUGUUGAAAACCAAGUGGAUAAUAUUUCGAGUAUAAUAUAUAGAAAUAUGAUGUUGCAAAUGAUAUACGCUAUCCUGACUUUUCUAUGAUUGAUUGGUUCUUGCCUUUGCUGAUUUUGUUGCUAAAAGAAUUUAAAAAACGAAUAAAAAACAAUCUUAGAAUUUAUUUUGUUACGGAUGCACACACAUAUUUAACAGUACGACUGUUUGUAUUUAUAUAGAUACUAUUUGAAGAUGUACAUGUGAUUUUAAUAAUAGUAUUGGAAACGGAUGAGACUACAUUAGUCCCUGAACAUCACCUAGAACUAUCUAAGAAGUUAUGUGACUCCCACUAAGUUGUCAGAUCUAACCUUGCUUGUACUGUUGUGUACUGGACGUUAUGAGACUGCUUGAAGCAAUGGAUAAAUACUAUAAAUUAUUUGUGCAUUUUGUUUGACUUGAAAAAUUUUCCACUUUUUCGGAGAAGAAAAUAAUGAACAAGCUGAAAUGAACAGUAAAUAUAUUUCAUACAAA